CUACGGGGGGCUGCAGUGGGGAAUUUUGCGCAAUGGGGGAAACCCUGACGCAGCAAUACCGCGUGAGUGAAGAAGGCCUUUGGGUCGUAAAGCUCUUUUCUUGGGGAAGAUAGUGACGGUACCCAAGGAAUAAGCACCGGCUAACUCCGUGCCAGCAGCCGCGGUAAUACGGAGGGUGCAAGCGUUGUUCGGAUUUACUGGGCGUAAAGGCACGUAGGCGGCACAGCAAGUUAAGGGUGAAAUCCCGGGGCUCAACUCCGGAACUGCUCUUAAAACUGCUGAGCUAGAGAUAGUCAGAGGCGGGUGGAAUUCCAGGUGUAGAGGUGAGAUUCGUAGAUAUCUGGAGGAACACCGGUGGCGAAGGCGGCCCGCUGGGGCUAUUCUGACGCUAAGGUGCGAAAGCGUGGGGAGUAAACGGGAUUAGAUACCCGUGUAGUC
RNAcentral lists this ribosomal RNA (438 nucleotides) under uncultured bacterium. RNAcentral describes it as "partial 16S ribosomal RNA". It matches the Rfam family "Bacterial small subunit ribosomal RNA", at positions 339 to 795 of the family's 1533-position model. The record is from RNAcentral.